This is a long non-coding RNA of Ornithodoros turicata, 960 nucleotides long. RefSeq lists it as uncharacterized. The transcript has 2 exons. The record is from RefSeq and is a predicted model, not a curated record. Lineage: Eukaryota; Metazoa; Arthropoda; Arachnida; Ixodida; Argasidae.
GCGGCCUUCUUCGUUGCACGCUUUUCCGAGCACCCGAGAACGCAGCCUCCUGGGCAGCUCUUUCAACCUGGAACCAAUGGCUAUCCCAUGGUUCAUGCAGACGUCGUCUGUUUCCCUGUGCAAUCCGUUCAGCUCGGCGACGCACGCCUCCAGUGUCCUUUGAAUUGUACCGUCCAUUGAAAGAUCGCCAGCCGUUCUUCCUCUCCUGUAACGGUUCAAUUAGUGUGUCUCUGUGAGUUGCUUACCUCGCCACUGUAAAUUGUAAGUUCAACUAUGAACCACGGCUUACUAGAUUAUAACGACCAUGUCAUAGGCACCCGUUCCCAGCGCCGCAUUUGGAAGCUAGCGUUGACGCUACUCAUCGGCCCGGUUAUUACUUCCUCGAUUUCUGCAAUAAUUUGUACUUCAGCUUACCUUAGUAUUUUUGUACAUGAGGUGGAUGUCCCACGGGAGAUGCAUCUUUCUAAAGUUGAUUAUCAUCAUCGUUCUACACGUUUUCGUAAGAGCUGUUGCUGUCGUCUGCUACGGUAGUUGUGCGUCUGCUUCUGGGCGUUCAAAAUUCAAAUUUGUAUCGUCCAAUCAUGAUACAGAUCUCGUGGGCUGGUGAGUAGCGCCCCCUAGUGGAUUGUACGGACGGGCUCCUCAUAGGGGUUGUGGAUUAUGAUAUGGUCUUUAUAAUCAAGUAGGUCGUGCUAUGGACAUACAUUUCUGCUUGUGUGCUACAGCUGCUCGUUCGUCCUUUGUCCUGGGCAGACACCGCGGCUUCGCCAUGCCUCUCUUGGGUCCAGUGCUCGUUGCACGAUAACCGCGUCUCACUGGAAGCGAGAGUUGUAAUGCCUGAUUUUGGUCAGAACUUUUCACAUUUCUUCUCUUUCCAGGUUUAGACUUACAGUUCAUCCUCUCCAGCUCCAUUUGAAUUUGGGUGGCACAGUCUGCAAUAAAAGAAAUUAUGACCAGGGU